This 117-nucleotide ribosomal RNA is filed under the name Scophthalmus maximus (turbot). Lineage: Eukaryota; Metazoa; Chordata; Actinopteri; Pleuronectiformes; Scophthalmidae. The record is from RNAcentral.
GCUUACGGCCACACCGCCUGGUUCAGACGAUCUCGUUUGAUCUCGGAAGAUAAGAUAGGGUGGGCCUGGUUAGUACCUGGAUGGGAGACCGCCUGGGAAUACCAGGUGCUGUAAGCU